AUAUUUUCUGCGUCGCUUCCGUUUUGCUUCUCCUCCUUCGUUUCCCAACUGCCUGGCGGCGUGUAGUCGGCCAUUAUUCAUCGUCCGAGUCCAGCAGUUGAAGUGUCGCUCUCGUUGGAAAACUGAAAAUUAAACAUCAAAAAUUCAAUGAAGAAAACAGUAUUGAAAAAUACAUUUUCGACGUUUGUACAUCGAAAGCGUCGAAUUUUGUACAUCGUAUAAAUUUUGAGAUGAACCAAGCUUCAAGUACAAACGAGAUUGCAGUCUCUCAAAAUGGUUUCUUUUUCAUGGGAGCAUUGAUGCUGAAAAUGCUGUUGAAUGAAAAGUAUUGCAACAGACGAGAGGAAAAUAUAAAUGGCAUAAAGGUAUAUUUCAACUUGACCAGCCUUUGGAAGUAGCAGAAGAAAUAUUGCCAACUGCCUACCUGAAGAAUAUUUUACGAAAAGCUGUUACAAUAGACUCACAAUACCUUUAUAACCUUGGAAAGGAUUGAAAAUAAUUUAUUCAGGCAAAUUCUGCUUAAUCGUUUGAAGAACCAACAAAUGAAAUAAUUACCAUCCACUCUCCUGCUCAACUGAGAAGAAUUCUAAAGAAAUCCUAAUCUCUUCGUUCAAAGUAAUCUUCUAGGUGAGAUAAGCAAGUUCUUGUAUUAUUUUUCAACAGAAUUUUAAAUUCAAAAUUUUACUGUCAACUAUACUUUAAAACUCAACAAUUUUUACAAAAUAUUUCAAUUUUUUACUUAGAUAAUUAAAACAUUAAAAACUACGAUUUUAAGAAAUAUAAUUUUGCGAAUAAAAUGCAACCAUAAGGAUUAAAAAAUCAUACAAUCUAAAAAAAACUAAGUACUAAAAACUAAUUAUACUCAUCGUUAGUAACAUUUGGAUGAAGACUAAACUUCAUGAAGAGGGUCCCUAUGUUGGUAGAACAAACAUAGACCAAAAUGACUUAAAGUCAUUAUUGAAGAUAAUUUGCAAAAAAAAAAUUAUUACAAACGGAAAUUAAAAGAGCUUACUUUGAAUAUAUCAAAAAAAGGAUUCUCAUUUAUUACUUUCACUUAAUAAUUUUUAUCUUCACAAAAUUAGACCUACUGGCAUCAUUGACUCUAGUAGAUUAUUUAUCAGUAAAUUCAAAGAUGCUAGUUUUCAUAAAAUUUAAAAAUUAAUAAUCAAAUUCUAGAUGUAAUUUGUAAAAAAAAUGUUACAAACGGAAUUUUAAAAAUGUUAUUUUGCAACAAUUGUUAGAAAAUCAUUUUUCCUGUAUACUUUCAAUUUCUAAGUUUUAACUUUUAACUUUUUUAACUGUUGAAAAACUUUUGCAAAAACAAUUUGCAAACAAAAAUUAUUACAAACGGAAAUUAAAGAGACAAAUGGUGAAUAUAAUUUUAAAAUAUCAUUCUUCCAGUGCUUUACUUAAUUUUUAACUGCUGGAAGAAUUAUAAUAAAAAUUUAAAGUGAAUUUAAUUUUCAAAGAAACAAUGAUUGCUAACGGAAGUUAAAAGAAAAUAAAUAAAUUAAAAUUUAAAGAAUCAUUUUUUCUCAAUUAUUUCACUUAAUAAUUUUUAUUAUUAAUUACUCUUAUUAAUGUGACACUUUCAUGAUUCUCUCACAUAUCACCCAGAUACAAAUUGAAAUAGUCUAAAUAUAAAAGCCGAUAGAAUUCAUUGUUUCUAUUCUUGUCUCUCUAUGGAGCAAAUUGCUACAUAAAUAUGUAUCUCUACAAAAUA
This is a long non-coding RNA of Leptopilina heterotoma, 1723 nucleotides long. RefSeq lists it as uncharacterized. The record is from RefSeq and is a predicted model, not a curated record. The transcript is spliced from 4 exons. Lineage: Eukaryota; Metazoa; Arthropoda; Insecta; Hymenoptera; Figitidae.